RNAcentral lists this unclassified non-coding RNA (391 nucleotides) under soil metagenome. Its description in RNAcentral is "partial contains 5.8S ribosomal RNA, internal transcribed spacer 2, and large subunit ribosomal RNA". The stretch from base 1 to 122 matches the Rfam family "5.8S ribosomal RNA", at positions 35 to 154 of the family's 154-position model. The record is from RNAcentral.
GAUGAAGAACGUAGCGAAAUGCGAUACUUGGUGUGAAUUGCAGAAUCCCGUGAACCAUCGAGUCUUUGAACGCAAGUUGCGCCCGAAGCCAUUAGGCCGAGGGCACGCCUGCCUGGGCGUCACACGUCGUUGCCCCCCCAUCUACUCCUUCGGGAUUGCGGGGGGCGGAUGAUGGCCUCCCGUGCGCCUCGCCGCGCGGUUGGCAUAAAUGCCAAGUCCUCGGCGACGCACGCCGCGACAAUCGGUGGUUGCGAAACCUCGGUUGCCCGUCGUGUGCGGUCGUCGCGCAUCGAGGGCUCGAAAAAAUUGCCGGGUUCCGGCUCGGCUUUCAACGCGACCCCAGGUCAGGCGGGGUUACCCGCUGAAUUUAAGCAUAUCAAUAAGCGGAGGA